GACGAACGCUGGCGGCGUGCUUAACACAUGCAAGUCGAACGGAAAGGCCCUGCUUUUGUGGGGUGCUCGAGUGGCGAACGGGUGAGUAACACGUGAGUAACCUGCCCUUGACUUUGGGAUAACUUCAGGAAACUGGGGCUAAUACCGGAUAGGAGCUCCUGCUGCAUGGUGGGGGUUGGAACGUUUCGGCGGUUGGGGAUGGACUCGCGGCUUAUCAGCUUGUUGGUGGGGUAGUGGCUUACCAAGGCUUUGACGGGUAGCCGGCCUGAGAGGGUGACCGGCCACACUGGGACUGAGGUACGGCCCAGGCUCCUACUGGAGGCAGCAGUGGGGAAUAUUGCACAAGGGGCGGAACCCUGAUGCAGAAACGCCGCGUGCGGGAUGACGGUCUUCGGGUUGUAAACCGCUUUCGCCUGUGACGAAGCGUGAGUGACGGUAAUGGGUAAAGAAGCACCGGCUAACUACGUG
Molecule: ribosomal RNA, 468 nt
Filed under: uncultured bacterium
Lineage: Bacteria
Description: partial 16S ribosomal RNA
Rfam family: Bacterial small subunit ribosomal RNA
Source: RNAcentral